CGGGAAGCAGCUCAGCUUGGUAGAGCACUUGGUUUGGGACCAAGGGGUCGCAGGUUCGAAUCCUGUCUUCCCGA
Molecule: transfer RNA, 74 nt
Filed under: Staphylococcus aureus
Lineage: Bacteria; Bacillati; Bacillota; Bacilli; Caryophanales; Staphylococcaceae
Also listed under: 1 other name
Description: tRNA-Pro
Rfam family: tRNA
About the family: Transfer RNA (tRNA) molecules are approximately 80 nucleotides in length. Their secondary structure includes four short double-helical elements and three loops (D, anti-codon, and T loops). Further hydrogen bonds mediate the characteristic L-shaped molecular structure. tRNAs have two regions of fundamental functional importance: the anti-codon, which is responsible for specific mRNA codon recognition, and the 3' end, to which the tRNAs corresponding amino acid is attached (by aminoacyl-tRNA synthetases). tRNAs cope with the degeneracy of the genetic code in two manners: having more than one tRNA (with a specific anti-codon) for a particular amino acid; and 'wobble' base-pairing, i.e. permitting non-standard base-pairing at the 3rd anti-codon position.
Source: RNAcentral